UACUUUGAGUCACCAGCGCCGCUGCUGCUACUCCAAAAUUCUGCUUCUGUUUCUUAGGGUUUGCUAUCUCAGCCCCCUUGAAGUUACCGUCGGUUCUGUUCUUGCCGGUGAGGGUCGCCGGAGCUGCUGCAAUUCCAGUCUCUUGUUCCUCUGAUAAGCUGCCUCGCGGUGUUGUUCCAUCGUCGCUGUUAUUGGAAGAAGCAGUCGAAGUGGCUGCCAUGAACUAAAAGGAAAGGGAGUUGUUACAAUAGGUUUAUGCGAACUCAGCUAAUCGAGAGUAGUUGUGGUUGCUGCGUAAGCGGUUUGGAGCUGUAUG
Arachis ipaensis is the source of this 316-nucleotide non-coding RNA. The record is from RefSeq and is a predicted model, not a curated record. Lineage: Eukaryota; Viridiplantae; Streptophyta; Magnoliopsida; Fabales; Fabaceae.